This 406-nucleotide ribosomal RNA is filed under the name uncultured bacterium. RNAcentral describes it as "partial 16S ribosomal RNA". It matches the Rfam family "Bacterial small subunit ribosomal RNA", at positions 30 to 526 of the family's 1533-position model. The record is from RNAcentral.
AUUGAACGCUGGCGGCAGGCCUAACACAUGCAAGUCGAACGAGUGGCGGACGGGUGAGUAGUGUCUGGGAAACUGCCAGAUGGGGGGGGAUAACUACUGGAAACGGUAGCUAAUACCGCAUACCCUCUGAUGUGCCCAUAUGGGAUUAGAUGGUGGGUGGGGUAACGGCUCACCAAGGCGACGAUCCCGAGCUGGUCUGAGAGGAUGAACAGCCACACUGGAACUGAGACACGGCCCAGACUCCUACGGGAGGCAGCAGUGGGGAAUAUUGCACAAUGGGCGCAAGCCUGAUGCAGCCAUGCCGCGUGUAUGAAGAAGGCCUUCGGGUUGUAAAGUACUUUCAGCGGGGAGGCGUUACCCGCAGAAGAAGCACCGGCUAACUCCGUGCCAGCCGCCGCGGUAAUAC